UUUUAAAUAAGAUAUUAAUAUUAAUAUUAGUUAUUGAAAAUAUUAUUUUUAUUGUUUAUAAUGUUACUAUUUUUUAUUUUAUUUAUUUUUUAAAAAUUUUUUAUUUUUUAAAUUUUUAUUUUUUUAAAAAGUUUUUAUUUUUUUAAAAAGUUUUUUAUUUUUUUAAAAAGUUUUUAUUUUUUUAAAAUUUUUUAUUUUUUAAAGUUUUUAUUUUUAAAAAUUUUUAUUUUUUAUUUAAGUUUUUUUAUUAAAAUUAUUUAAUUUAAGAGAAAAUAUUAAAAAUUAAUUAUUAUGCUUAUUUAUUCAUAUAUGUUAUUAUAUAAUUUUUUAAAUUAGUAUAAAAAAUUAAGUUAAUUUAAUAAAAAUUAUUAAAUUUUAAAAAAUAAAUUAAUAAAUAUUGGUUUUAUAAAUAUUUAUAAAUCAAUAUAUAAUUAUAUAUAUAUAUUUAUUAAUAUAAAAUUAAUAUUUAUAUAUAUAUAAUUAUUUAUAAAUUAAUAUAUAAUUAGAGAAUAAAAUAAUAUAUAUAUAUUUAUAUAAUUAUAAAUAUAUAUAUAAUAUUAUAUAUAUAUAUAUAUAUAUUUUAUUUUAAAUAAAUAAAAUAUAACAAAAAAAAAAAAAAAACUCAUUUUAUUAUUUAUUAUUAAUAUUUAAAUUAAUUAAUAAAAAAAAAAUAUUUAUAAUAUAAAAUAGUUAAUUUUAUAUUUAAAAUUUUAUACUAAAUAAUAAAAUUAUAUAUUAAAUACUAUGAAUAAAUAAAAAUUAUAAUAUAUAUAUAUAUAUAUAUAUAUAUAUUAAAAAUUUUUUUAUAUUAUUUAUUAUA
This 820-nucleotide ribosomal RNA is filed under the name Apis mellifera (honey bee). RNAcentral describes it as "12S ribosomal RNA". Lineage: Eukaryota; Metazoa; Arthropoda; Insecta; Hymenoptera; Apidae. The record is from RNAcentral.